Phlebotomus papatasi is the source of this 1030-nucleotide long non-coding RNA. RefSeq lists it as uncharacterized. NCBI's taxonomy places the organism in Eukaryota, Metazoa, Arthropoda, Insecta, Diptera, Psychodidae. The record is from RefSeq and is a predicted model, not a curated record. The transcript is spliced from 3 exons.
AAAAUCGAGCGUGAGGGCGGCGCGUGCGGUUGUGCGAAGAACUAGUAGUGAACAACUAGCGAAUCUGGCGGAAAGACAUGCAAACGGCUUUUGACAGUUCUCGCGUGGAGCAAUUUCCACGAAUUUACUCGCGCAGUUUUUGUGAAAAAUCCGGAAAAUAGUGAAGAAAGUUCUUUAAAAACAAGUGCAAAGGUGUGAGAAAACUCUUAAUGAUAGAUCUUAGUGGUGGCAAGUGAAAAAAAUGAUGUGCAUUGUGAGAAAUUGCAAAAACAGCGACCAGCGAAAUCCUCUGGGGGUGUCAUUUCACAGAUUUCCAGUAAUUUUAGAACUGUGCGCAACUCGUCUGAAGCUUUCAGUUGCACUUGUGGACCGAAAUAAAGCCGUAUGCAGCCUCCACACUUCAAUCCAUAAAAUAUUUCACGGAAAAGUGCCUCAAAAGUGAAGCGCUCGAAGUACGUGCGAUCCUUUGCUAAAGACUCCCUACCAAUCGCAUUCAUUGGUACCACAUCUUUUGAUGGAAAGCAAUAUGCAGAACUACUUGAGUGUGACCAUCUCUGUUCUCACAUGUCACGAUAAAGAGCCUAUUUUUAUUUUAGAUGGAAACAGUCAAUGAGAAUGGAUAUGCAACAUCAUACGGUGUAAGAAAUCCAGGCAAAGGACACAUGAAGAUGUCAAUCGUAUUACCAAAGCUGAUUCGAAAUAAGUUUUGAAAGUAUUAUAGAAACAAAUUCUACUCCAAUGCAACGAAUAAGUUAGAGUUAGCAAUUAUGUUUUAUUAUUUCUUACUAUUUUUAUGCAGAAUUAAGAAAAAUGAUGGACUUGAUCUUUAAUUGUUUCGAAUAAUUAUAAAAAGUAAUGAAUUUAUCCUAAUUUAUAGAUAGCUAUUUUUAAAAUAAAUUUAUUCUCUAUUAAAAUUUUUGUUUUUUUAACCUACUUCAAUUCAAUUUGCAAGUUUGUGGCAAAAUAUUUAAAUUGUGUCUCGUGUUGGAUUCACAUAAUGAUUUAUACUUGAAAUUCUCCUAGAUCUUUG